RNAcentral lists this ribosomal RNA (253 nucleotides) under uncultured bacterium. Its description in RNAcentral is "partial 16S ribosomal RNA". It matches the Rfam family "Bacterial small subunit ribosomal RNA", at positions 524 to 776 of the family's 1533-position model. The record is from RNAcentral.
UACGUAGGCAGCGAGCGUUGUUCGGAGUUACUGGGCGUAAAGAGUGCGUAGGCGGUUUUCUAAGUUUGGUGUGAAAUCUCCCGGCUCAACUGGGAGGGUGCGCCGAAGACUGGAAGGCUUGAGUAUGGGAGAGGUAAGCGGAAUUCCUGGUGUAGCGGUGAAAUGUGUAGAUAUCAGGAGGAACACCUGCGGUGUAGACGGCUUACUGGACCAUAACUGACGCUGAGGCACGAAAGCGUGGGUAGCAAACAGG